AAUUUGGCANANAAAAUGCAACUGAUUUAGAAUCAGUAGAUGGUGGUCACAUCAGUU
This 57-nucleotide transfer RNA is filed under the name Physella acuta. RNAcentral describes it as "transfert RNA-L1(CTA)". The record is from RNAcentral. Lineage: Eukaryota; Metazoa; Mollusca; Gastropoda; Physidae.